ACGGCUCAUUAACACAUGAUCAACUUACCCUAUAGAGGAAAAUAACCUCGGGAAACUGANGAUAAUGUUCCAUAGUUGAAUCGGCUUGGAAAAGUUUUUCAAUAAAAGGGAUAAGGAAAAUGGUUCUUAUCUGCUAUAGGAUAGGAUCGUGCUCGAUUAUGGUUGUUGGUGAGGUAAAGGCUCACCAAGCCGAUAAUCGAUAGGGGCCGUGAGAGCGGGAGCCCCGAGAUGGGUACUGUGACAACGACCCAGGCCUUACGAGGCGCAGCAGGCGCGAAACCUCCGCAAUACACGAAAGUGUGACGGGGUUACCCAAAGUGUUCUAUUUAGAACUGUGGUAGGUGAGUAAUGUCCCCUACUAGAAAGGAGAGGGCAAGGCUGGUGCCAGCCGCCGCGGUGAAACCAGCUCUUCAAGUGGUCGGGAUAAUUAUUGGGCUUAAAGUGUCCGUAGCCGGUUUAGUAAGUUCCUGGUAAAAUCGGGUAGCUUAACUAUCUAUAUGCUAGGAAUACUGCUAUACUAGAGGGCGGGAGAGGUCUGAGGUACUACAGGGGUAGGGGUGAAAUCUCAUAAUCCUUGUAGGACCUCCAGUGGCGAAGGCGUCAGACUGGAACGCGCCUGACGGUGAGGGACGAAAGCCAGGGGAGCGAACCGGAUUAGAUACCCGGGUAGUCCUGGCCGUAAACGAUGCAUACUAGGUGAUGGCACGGCCAUGAGCCGUGUCAGUGCCGUA
This 731-nucleotide ribosomal RNA is filed under the name uncultured archaeon. RNAcentral's name for it is "bacterial SSU rRNA". It matches the Rfam family "Archaeal small subunit ribosomal RNA", at positions 85 to 805 of the family's 1478-position model. The record is from RNAcentral.